Molecule: ribosomal RNA, 529 nt
Filed under: Colletotrichum acutatum
Lineage: Eukaryota; Fungi; Ascomycota; Sordariomycetes; Glomerellales; Glomerellaceae
Description: eukaryotic LSU rRNA
Rfam family: 5.8S ribosomal RNA (bases 194-347)
Source: RNAcentral
GGAGGGAUAUUACUGAGUACCGCUCUAUAACCCUUUGUGAACGUACCUAACCGUUGCUUCGGCGGGCAGGGGAAGCCUCUCGCGGGCCUCCCCUCCCGGCGCCGGCCCCCACCACGGGGACGGGGCGCCCGCCGGAGGAAACCAAACUCUAUUUACACGACGUCUCUUCUGAGUGGCACAAGCAAAUAAUUAAAACUUUUAACAACGGAUCUCUUGGUUCUGGCAUCGAUGAAGAACGCAGCGAAAUGCGAUAAGUAAUGUGAAUUGCAGAAUUCAGUGAAUCAUCGAAUCUUUGAACGCACAUUGCGCUCGCCAGCAUUCUGGCGAGCAUGCCUGUUCGAGCGUCAUUUCAACCCUCAAGCACCGCUUGGUUUUGGGGCCCCACGGCCGACGUGGGCCCUUAAAGGUAGUGGCGGACCCUCCCGGAGCCUCCUUUGCGUAGUAACUAACGUCUCGCACUGGGAUCCGGAGGGACUCUUGCCGUUAACCCCCAAAUUCUUACAGGUUGACCUCGGAUCAGGUAGGAAUA